This is a long non-coding RNA of Pygocentrus nattereri (red-bellied piranha), 783 nucleotides long. RefSeq lists it as uncharacterized. NCBI's taxonomy places the organism in Eukaryota, Metazoa, Chordata, Actinopteri, Characiformes, Serrasalmidae. The record is from RefSeq and is a predicted model, not a curated record. The transcript is spliced from 5 exons.
CCACAGUGCAGCAGCUGUUCUGCUUUUAUAUCUACAGCAACAAGAGCGGGCACCUCACGCUGCCGGCUGACCUGCGCUGUUCAAGGCUACUAAGGAGGAGCCUUCAUAGGACAGUCCUACCGAGGACCUGCACCACCUCAGCUACAGCCAAGGCUCUGGAACGCAGCUCUUGAGUAAGAAGUUCAUGUGACUGGAUGUGGCCUGCUCAUCAAAAUUCACGCUGCUGUCCGUGAUGUCGUACACAGUGAUGGUGUCUCCAAAUCUCCAGAACACAGUGCCUUUAACCAGCAGUGCCUCAUGACUGUUUGAACACGAGCUGCUCCUGGCUGCCUAUUUUGGGUGAUGGACCACUAGGAAUGUUCUACGGCUGGUCCAGCACCACAGAACCAGCCCACCUGAUUCACCCAAACAGUGUCAUAUUUCAGUUAAAACACAUUUAACACACUCGUGUCCAGAACUGUGCAGCAGCAGAUGCGCUACAGUCUAUAACUGUAACGUUAGUGGACCUCAAAAGGUGGACGGAGCUCAUGAAGUGGACAGAGAGGGAAAUACAAAAUAAAAGUCUCUAAUAAAGUGGACGGUCGGUGUAUGGAAAUCAAAUCAAAUCAAAUCAGAUUUAUUGUCACAUCACAAGAGUACAGGAGUACAGGAAUGAAGCAAGUGUACAUUCCUCCAUCCGUCUUCUUCAAACGGCUGAGUUUGAUGGAGAAGUUUCCUUUAGUCCACUCGUCUGGAAAGCUGUCAACUCGGCCUCUGAACGGCACAUCCUGUUCAUCCAACGAC